RNAcentral lists this unclassified non-coding RNA (455 nucleotides) under Hevea brasiliensis (rubber tree). Lineage: Eukaryota; Viridiplantae; Streptophyta; Magnoliopsida; Malpighiales; Euphorbiaceae. The record is from RNAcentral.
AGAGAGAUAAAACUAAAGUAGAGAAGUGCUCAAGCAAAAAGAAUCAAGGUAGGGGGAGAGGAAGGAGAAAGAAUAAUACAAGUAGAAAUUAAAUGAAAUGCUUGAGAAACAAAUGCAAAAUUAUCCAUAGCAGGUAAGAAAUUCCUCGUCAGACGUGACUAAAUACAAUUUUAGUAAAUAAAUAACACAAAAAUUCAUGUCUCUAAGGUUUUAAAAGCAAAUUCAAAAGAAACUGUAGGAGGAAGUGUCUAGUGGAUGAAUGAGGUAUGUAAGCACGAGAGCAACCAUCAUCAACACGUAGGUAUGAAGCAAAUUUAACCAACACAUCACAAAAUCUUCCAAUAAUUUUUAGUUUACAACAACAUUGAGCAUCCAAAUAUUCACAUUACAUUACAGGAUCCAAAAAUGAACAAUGCCAUUAAAUGAAAAAGAAAACAUUUUUCAUGACUUCAAAU